UGACACUUGCAAAGAGUGGAAAGCUACCGGGCUGGACGAAGGGAAGGGACCUGGAGUGGAGAGUCUUGAGGGUCAGAGAACCUGGGAGAGGGGCCUUAGUGGGUCGAGAGCUUCCAGCUGGUGGAGGAAGGAGGACGAAGCCUGGACAACUGCGGAUUGCAGAUGGGAGGACCAAGGGACGGGCCAGUAUCCAGGAUCCUGGGCCAGCCAUUAAGCCUCUGAUGGGACCCAAAAGGACAGAGAAAAGAACUGGGCACUUCCUACCCCUCCCUGCCCCAAAUUCUGAUGUGCCCCCAGGCAGAAGCAGGGAAUCCUGAGCAGCCAGGCACGGGAUCAAGUCACCAAAUCAGCGUUUUUUUUUGCAGAGGUCAGAAGAUGUGAGAGAAGGUGGUGGUUAGGGAAGGAAAAGGAGCUGGAACAGGGGAGAAUAAGGGAUGAGACUCAGGAUUAGAGAAGAUAAGAGAUGGGAAGAGGCAGUGGGCAAGGAGUAACAGGGUGGUCCAGACUCCAUCAGGGCCUGAGAAAUUUGGAUGCCAUCACUCCUCCUGGCCCUCUCCAGGCCCCACCGGAGCCUGAAUUCUCCACCCACCUAUUAGGGAGGAGGGGGCUUCUGGAGGCAUGAUGGAGGCUCAAGAUACAGGACACCCAGGGGGGUGUGUUCACAGACCAGGGGAAAAUGCACUCUAUUUUUGGCCACAGACAUCAGGAGGGGAGAGGCCAAUGUCUGUCUACGUUUUCAGAUCCUUUCCUCACCCCUGCUCCUCCCAACCCAUCCUUUCCCAGGCCCUCAAGGCACAAAAUCCCUGAGAGCUUCAACUCCCACCGCCGUCAUCCUCAGCGCCCUCUCCCAGCGUUUCCUCCCCCAUUCCCUAAGGCCCUGGAAUUGGGGAAGGGUCUUCCCCUUCCUGACCUCUAGGACCCCUUCCUUGUUCCUCCUCCCCCAUUCAUAUCAGCUACACAUCCAGAAAAGGGGAUCUCCGGACACUAAAGCUGACAACAUGGGGACUUCCUGCCUACCAUCUUGGUCCCCCGAGAUCCUCCAAGUACCUUGGUCCCAAAGCUCAGAAUCAAGGGGAAUCUCUCCGCUCUAAUCUUUGGGUCCCCGUCUCCCGAGUCCCCCGCCUCCAAAACUGGGAUUUGGGCUGUCUUACCGUCCCCGGACCCUGAACCUUCUCCCCCUCCCCCGUACUCACCCCAAGUCGAGGCGAGGCGGGGAUUGGGGGGGAUCCCGGGCUGGAGAUGGGGGGAGGGGUGACCCAGCCUUGGCAGCUCUGGGCAGCAAGAGGCUGCGGAGGGGGGGAUGACAUCACCGCCGGAGGAGGGGCAGCACCGCUUCCCCCAACCGGGGGCUUCAAGCUCCGCCUUUAUGGCGGACCCAGGGGUCCCGGAAUCCCAAGGGGAGAGAGAAGGAACAGGAGAUGAGGUCCGCAGGAAUGGUAUCCCCUCCGCUUAGAACAAAGGUUGGGAAAUCCUUUACCGAUUUCAGCCACCCCCCACUGCCACCUGUCGCUGCCGUCGCGACCUGUCGCCUCCCACGCAUGUUGUGGCUACGCCCGCCUCCGCCAGGGCGUGAACACGGCAUGGACUACAACGCCCGAGAUGCUCCGCGGUGCCGGGCGCCUUUGACGAGAGGCAGUGUAGACGAGGAGCUUCAUGGGAUUCGUAGUAUAAGACCCCCUCACCAGUGUGAGCCUUGGAGAAAAAAGGUGAUGUGUUUCCCGGCCCUCUCUUCCUCAACUCCGGAGGUCCAGACACUAAUUUUUCUCUCUAAACAUCACGCACUGAAAAGAAGCAACCCAGCCAGGUUCAUUCAAUGGAAAUAGCGGGUUUUUACAGGGUAGCUACACCGCCACUACCACCCUGUAUGCACGCGCUCAGCUAGGGCGGCCACCGGAGAACUGCGCCUGCGCGGGCCCGCCCCCUCGCUGCCCCGCCCCGCGAGGCCGAGCGCGCGCCAGGCCCACUCGGGCACCGCCGUGUGUGUCCCCGCGGUCGAAGACGGCCACGUAGGUUCCCAGGAAGACAUCGCCGAGAAUCCAGAGGGGCCCUGCAGGCGGAGGCAUAUCCAAGGCCUGGAAGCCGGACAAGCAGAGACGGACGCCAUCCCGAGAAAUCUGCGCGCAAGAAGACAGGGCAGCUGGUUGUCACAAACAGGGGCCCUUUCCCUGCUUCGCCCCGUCCAGUACUCCUGGACAAAAAACGUUUCUGUGACCCCAACCCCGUCCUGAUGCUGUCUCACUCCCAGCCCUACCCUCUCAAAUCCAGUCAUAUGACGUCACUGUGACAGCCACCUACCUGGAUGACGUAGUCCUUGGCCGUGAGGUUAAACCAGACCCCGCCAAGGAGGAAGGAGACUGGGGGGAGCGUUGGGAUGUCUGAGCACCGGAUGAGGUACUAGGGGAGAAGAGGAACAAGUGAAGAUGGGAGAGUCCUGUUCUACCCAAAUCCCUUUCGUGGCACCCGAGUGUCAUAGGGUAAUGUCCGUAUUGUGCGCCUUGUAUGGACAAGCCUGUUGCCUAGGCUUCUGUCACCCAAGCCUAAAUAAACCUGCAUUAUCAUCCCGUCUCCCAUCCACUGAGUCAGUCAGGAUAGACACUUGGGAAGUG
Long non-coding RNA from Lemur catta (Ring-tailed lemur), 2606 nucleotides. RefSeq lists it as uncharacterized. Lineage: Eukaryota; Metazoa; Chordata; Mammalia; Primates; Lemuridae. The record is from RefSeq and is a predicted model, not a curated record. The transcript has 3 exons.